Molecule: ribosomal RNA, 406 nt
Filed under: uncultured bacterium
Lineage: Bacteria
Description: partial 16S ribosomal RNA
Rfam family: Bacterial small subunit ribosomal RNA
Source: RNAcentral
AUUGAACGCUGGCGGCAGGCCUAACACAUGCAAGUCGAACGAGUGGCGGACGGGUGAGUAAUGUCUGGGAAACUGCCCGAUGGAGGGGGAUAACUACUGGAAACGGUAGCUAAUACCGCAUACCAUCGGAUGUGCCCAUAUGGGAUUAGCUAGUAGGUGGGGUAAAGGCUCACCUAGGCGACGAUCCCUAGCUGGUCUGAGAGGAUGAUCAGCCACACUGGAACUUAGACACGGUCCAGACGCGUACGGGAGGCAGCAGUGGGGAAUAUUGCACAAUGUGGGCAAGCCUGAGGCAGCCAUGCCGCGUGUAUGAAGAAGGCCUUCGGGUUGUAAAGUACUUUCAGCGGGGAGGCGUGACCCGCAGAAGAAGCACCGGCUAACUCCGUGCCAGCAGCCGCGGUAAUAC